RNAcentral lists this non-coding RNA (27 nucleotides) under Homo sapiens (human). The record is from RNAcentral. Lineage: Eukaryota; Metazoa; Chordata; Mammalia; Primates; Hominidae.
UGACUACCUACACAGAGGGGCCAGCCA